This 607-nucleotide ribosomal RNA is filed under the name uncultured bacterium. RNAcentral describes it as "bacterial SSU rRNA". The stretch from base 1 to 518 matches the Rfam family "Bacterial small subunit ribosomal RNA", at positions 338 to 873 of the family's 1533-position model. The record is from RNAcentral.
CCUACGGGAGGCAGCAGUGGGGAAUCUUGCGCAAUGGGCGAAAGCCUGACGCAGCCAUGCCGCGUGAAUGAUGAAGGUCUUAGGAUUGUAAAAUUCUUUCACCGGGGACGAUAAUGACGGUACCCGGAGAAGAAGCCCCGGCUAACUUCGUGCCAGCAGCCGCGGUAAUACGAAGGGGGCUAGCGUUGCUCGGAAUUACUGGGCGUAAAGGGAGCGUAGGCGGAUAGUUUAGUCAGAGGUGAAAGCCCAGGGCUCAACCUUGGAAUUGCCUUUGAUACUGGCUAUCUUGAGUAUGGGAGAGGUAUGCGGAACUCCGAGUGUAGAGGUGAAAUUCGUAGAUAUUCGGAAGAACACCAGUGGCGAAGGCGGCAUACUGGCCCAUUACUGACGCUGAGGCUCGAAAGCGUGGGGAGCAAACAGGAUUAGAUACCCUGGUAGUCCACGCUGUAAACGAUGAGUGCUAGUUGUCGGCAUGCAUGCAUGUCGGUGACGCGAGCUACGACAUAAGACACUCCGCCGUCGGGAGGUACGGUCGCGAUGAGUUAAACGUAACGAAAGAAGUUAGACGGCGUGAGACGUGACCGACGGACGACGACGAGGGAGGAGG